AAAGACCUACGGGGCGCAGCAGUGGGGAAUUUUGCGCAAUGGGGGGAACCCUGACGCAGCAACGCCGCGUGCGGGACGAAGGCCCUCGGGUUGUAAACCGCUUUCAGCAGGGAAGAUCCAAGACGGUACCUGCAGAAGAAGCUCCGGCUAACUACGUGCCAGCAGCCGCGGUAAUACGUAGGGGGCGAGCGUUAUCCGGAUUCAUUGGGCGUAAAGCGCGCGUAGGCGGCCGCCUAAGCGGGACCUCUAACCCCGGGACUCAACCCCGGGCCGGGUCCCGGACUGGGCGGCUCGAGUGCGGUAGG
Molecule: ribosomal RNA, 305 nt
Filed under: uncultured bacterium
Lineage: Bacteria
Description: bacterial SSU rRNA
Rfam family: Bacterial small subunit ribosomal RNA
Source: RNAcentral